Molecule: long non-coding RNA, 1865 nt
Organism: Pongo pygmaeus (Bornean orangutan)
Lineage: Eukaryota; Metazoa; Chordata; Mammalia; Primates; Hominidae
Exons: 5
Source: RefSeq, a predicted model, not a curated record
CACACACACACACACACACACACCCUGAAAGGGCUUUCCUUGUCUUAAGCCUCUGUGUAUGAAACACUCUGGAACCCACUGGCCUAGGUGUUAGAACAGCACCGAAGUUGCCAGGGCCAGGGGUCCAGCCAUCCUGACCUCUGCUAGCCACCCUGCAAGGGCCGAUGUUCCCACGCAGGAGGCCCCAGGGAGGUGGUACUGAGCAACCGGCCACACCCAACAAAACAGCUCAGAGCUCAACUUCUUCCUGAAUUAGGCCACACCCGAGGCCUCCCGGUUCUCAUCCACGCCUCUGGGUCCAUCACUAAACAGAAGGCACAAACCCACUAACUCUUACUCCAUCGCUGCUCAUGAAACUCCUGCCAGUAAAGACUGGGUCAAGCACCUGAAAACCAGAGUUCAUCCGUGGCUUCACUUGUUUUGGACUAAGGAGCUGAGGAGCGUGCGAGACCGUACUUGGAGAAUCUGUUUUUUGCUGCCAUUUCGUCACUGAGCACUAUUUAUUUUUUUUUCUCCUUCUUUUUUUGUAAGAAAAGGAGAACACAUAAAACCCCACCAGAACAAACUCCACUCGGCCCUGAAAGUAUUUACAAUCACGGCCCUGAAAGUAUUUACAAUCACGUUACAGUUCAUUCACUGCUGCAGAACCUCUCUCCAGCGCUCAAGGUUGAAGGGAGCCGACGUCGCCCUCUAUCGGCUCCGUGCUGCACCAGAAGGUAAUUUAAACGAAAAGGCUCUUUGAAGCCAGUGUUCUCUAUUUUCUUCGAAACUCCAGGUUUUGGGGGCUUCUUUUCUGUUUGUUGUUUGUUUGCUCAGUCUAUGUUUUGAUUUGCUGGUGAGGGGAGGCAGAGAGAGGAAGUGGAGCAGGAGCCCAGCGCGUUUCUAUGGCCACCGCGACCACAGGCAGAGGGGGAGCCGUGGCGGGAAAGGCCAGGCCGCGCUCCACACUGUGGGGGCCACGCCAACCUCCAUCCGACUCCCACAGAAGCGCCCACAAAAGGCACUUUCAUCACGUCCAGUGCCCGCUCCUGGGCCCACGGAAUGCAUUUGUUUUACAGUCUCUGCAGAAACAAUGUUUCCACAUGCCAGCCACGCUCCGCAGACAGAACGUUUCUUUGUGUUAGUGCCUGGUGUGAUGUGACCUCCACUGGUACAGCAUAGCCCGCCACAGCACUCUUCCAUCCCGCAGCCGCAUGAACCCCAGAAGGAGCUUCCACCGCAGGAUCGGGAAGAUGGAGGCUCCUGAAGAGCUGUAGAAGUGCAUCCCAGGCAGAAGCCCAGCAGACAGCAAAGGGCCUGGUUUGUUCAAGGAACUGGAGAGCAAGAAAAUCAGGAGCCAGUUCAUGCAGGGCACAGUUAGCCAAGCCGGACUCACACAGGAGGCCCUUCAUCUUCAUGUUCCCCACAUAGCAGAGGGGAGGGCAGAAGAUGAGAAAGGAGGAGAGAGCAGAGCCAAGAGCCUCCUUUUCUCCCCCUGUGCCCCUCCUACGUGUGGCUCUGGACACCAGGAACCACCCAAGGACAGUGGGACUCCUCGAAAAGAUAAUUGCUCAUGAGGGAUCCAAGAGCAAGGCUUGUUACAUCCUAUAACCUUCACACAAAGUCCAAGUGCCAGGCAGAGACUACCGUGAAUCUCCACAGCAGUGCUCCAAGUUCUGGAUGUCAGAGGUCCAACUUGAGUCUCACUGGGCUGAUGUCAAGAAGCCUGCAGAGUUGCUUUCUUCCUGGAGGCUCUAGGAGAGAUUCUGUUUUCCUGCCUUUGCCACCUUCUAGCGGCCGCCUGUAUUCCUUGGCUUGCACAACCCCUCUGUAUCCUUAAAGCAGUAAUGGCCCGUCAAGUCUCAUGAGACCAUCAGUUUGGUUUC